UUAUGGAUUUAUAAAAAUGCUUUAUAUAUUAAAGAUAAGAUAUUAACCAUAUGCUAUCUUCUCACUGCUGCAAAAAAAUAUUUCUGCCAACUAGAUAUGCUUAACUUUAAAGUUUUAGUUAAGCGUAUAUAUUCUUUAUUCUUUGCAUGAAUAUACAUGUUUUGUUGCUUUUAUACUUGGUAAAUUCUUAGUAAUAUCCCAUCAUCACAAAAAGAGCCACCUAUUUUUUUCUAUUUCUCUUGUUUACAUUAAAAAAAAAAAAACCUCUCUAGAACCAUCUGGAAUUUAUUAAGGUCCAUGAUAUAACAUGGGGAUUCUAUUUUUUCUCUGAAGAGUUAGUCAACUAUUUCACACCUUUAUUUACUCUUUCUUUGUAAUGAUCUCUAACUUAUAUCACAGCACUUUUACCCUGGCAUCUGUUUCUGUUCCAUUGACUUGUCUGUCUGAGCUGUCUGAGCUGAGCUGGUGCCUUUAUGCCAUCAUACUAAACCCAGGAGUUUUCUGAUAGAAUCUUGUAGGGCAAAUCUCUUCUAAUUUCUUUAAAAAACAAAACAAAACUCUAGCCAUCUCACAUGUUUAUUUUUCCAGCUAAGUUUGAGACUCACUUUGUUUAAAACUUUUUCUUUCAAUUAUAUGCAAAUUUAAGAAUAAUGACACUUUGACAAUAUUCUACAUUUUCGUGCAUGAACAUGGGUCAUCUUCCUGUUCUGCAUUUCUGUGAUAGUUCUUGUUCGGUGCUCACGUUUCAAGUACAAAUUCUGGGGUCUCUCAAGGGCGAGAAGCAGUGAUGAAAAAUUCUGAGCUCAUAAAGCAUACUACACAAAAAAUGGCCAAGCGGUGGGAGAAGCACAAAAGAUUAAAUUUCACAAAGCCAAGAGGAUUUUUACAUUUUGAAACGCUCCAUGAAUGGUUAUGAAAAUGUGUCUCCCUGACUCUGACUCAUGAGCCUUGGUGUUAAAAUCCUAGUUCUAGCACAUUUAAGAAAUGAGGGCUGUGAUCACCAUACCACCUUGUACGUAUUUCUUACCUCUUCCUAAAACCUCGAUGUUAAUUUGGCACUGGCGACCACUAGCAAAAUAUGCCUAAGUAUUGGCCCCAUCCUUUUUUCCAUUAGGUUACUUAACUCCAUUGCAGAUAUGUGGAAACACAGCCUGGCUUCAAUUUGCAUCUGAGAUGGGGUGUGUUUGUAUUUUUACUCUUGGUUUAAAUUGCAAAUAAACUAUUACACGUGGGAAUGUGCCCCGGGAUGUGGUCGGUCAACUUCAUGCACCCUCUGCAUCUGCAUCAGGAAACAACUCUAGCUGUUGACUUCAAGGUGAUAUUCAAAAUCAUGCAGAAGGAAAAGAAUUCCUCCUUAAUUCUCAAAAGGGAUACGUCCUUAAAGUCCAGCUGCCCAGGUCAGUAGGCACUAACUAAAAGGGCAAUUCCACCACCACAGGAAAAGCUGCAGCCCGCAGAGAACACGGGCCACACCCCCGCCACGAGCAUGCCAGGGAACACGGAAACUCAACACUAUGACAAACAGACUUUGGAACCAUCGCGUUGGUCUCUCCUUUGCAACUCAAAGACUGGACUAGCAUGAGCACUUGUGAACAUCCUGCCCUAACAGAGACUGAAACGAGGAAUCAAAUGAGAUGAUUUGAAAAGUGCCCCAGAAAGUACAUUUGGGCCUGAGUACAUGAUCUCCAUUAAUCCUCAAAACAGGCUGGGGAGGUUACCGUCCUCUUCCUUCAGAUGAGAAACUGAAACUCAGAGGGGUUAAGAAACUUGCCCGGGGUGAAACAGCUGCUAUGAAUUACAGCUGGUUUCAAACCCAAGUCUAUUGGUUCUGAAGCUCAUGACCGUGACCUGUGUCUAUACAGCUUGCUCAUCUCAGGAAGGGAGAAGAAACCCUUGCGAAUAGAAGAAUCCUUUUGUGAAAGAGCAGCUGUUUGCUUCCUAACAGAAUGUUGAGGACAAUGCAAAGUGAACCAGGCUCCCGGUGGCUGGGCUAAGCCUUCGGGCCUCAGCUCUGGUCAGCAGACUGGCUGAGGGUCCAACCUGUGACACUCAGCAUGAGUGGCCUGCACAACCCAACCCAAAGCCUCUGCGCCUCCUUGGGUUCAAAGUCUGGGUUAGGGUUGAAGCCACUGCUGCUUACCAGUGUAGAAGAUUCUGUCCACCAAUUAACCUUCCGGGCUCCAUAACUAGGGUUGCAAUGAGGUGUUCUAGGCACACACAUUCUGUGUUCAAGCUCUGUAUGGAUUUAAGAGGAAAAAUCUCUCUCCAAUUCUCUAUUGAAUGUUUCUCAGGCCUGCAGGAAACAGCAGUAAUUAGGAGCCGUAUGUCUGGCCCCCAGCAGUCUGGCACCCUCUCCAUGGUGAGCUGGGAAAACGUCCAUAAUGCUCCCAAGCAGAUUUUCUGGGGGAUGGUUCCCUUUAGUUAUAAUUGAAAGGACUUGGAGCUUCCCAAUUUGGGUGACUGGCAAAAUGGUGGAGCCAUAGUGGACUCUAUCUCCAUUCCAAUAAAACAUGAAAACUCACAAAGGUGAUUACAACAAGCGGAUAACUAGGAGACCCCACUGCUGUCUCUCAGAGACUCUGGUUGACUAUAAGCUCAGUCCUUCAACCCCAGGAGGGAGCUCCUUGGGGUGUGAGGUGACCACACUGCACUGGAAUCAUUUGGGGCCACCCAGUCUGGCAUCUCCUGGCACUUUGUCCCUGGUUGGACAAGAGAGUCACGCCCAUCCUGGGGAGGGGCCCCCCUGGGACCCUCACCUGCAUCAAGAAGUCACUUUCCUGUGAGUGAGUUCUGUGCCCAGCAAGGUCGGGUACAUAGCAGGUGCUCAAAAGCAUGCUUGGGACAUUGAAUCAAGUUUCUCAGCACUCCCAAAUCUCUCUGAAUCUGAAGACAGUACCGGGUUAGACACACUUAUCCUAAGGAAUGGUACUUCUCAACUUACAGAACUGGGCACACGGUCGAUGAGACAUCGAUUAUUUCAGCCAUGUGUGCUCACUAGGGGGUAAGAUUCUUUUCCACUUUGUACGACAAAACAAAACACUAAGGCUUUGAUGCUGGCAUGUUGGUCUUUUUCUUUUGGGUGGAUUCCUUCUUGCAAGCGUUUCCUGCCCCACUUUAAUCUGAUACCCACAGCACUUGUUAUUGGAAGAAGUUUUGGCUGUUUGUGUCCAAAACAUCAGACUACUGAGCACAUUAUUGGGCGAACUGGAAAACGACUUGGAUCCUUCUGAGGAGCACUCCAGAUGUGUUACUGCCCUUCAGUGGGGCCCAGCCUUCUGUCCCUGGUGGUAUUGAGCUGGAGCCACAGGCAUGUAGCAGAUGCCACGUUACCAAGACAUCCCAUGGCUGGAUGAGACGUGGAAGCCACUAGCCUUGUUUACUCUGAAGUCUGACCUAUGGAUUAAGAAUUCGGAUAACACUCCCACCCACCGUCAUCACCUCUGGAAAACAAAACCCAGAAAGGUAAAAACUGUAGAUGUAGGUGAUUAUUUGGAUCCUAAGAAAAAAAGGGAGUCAGAGAAAAGAGGAGUCUAUAACCACGAAACCAUAAUUGGGGCCCCCAAAAAGCUACCGUAUGUCAAGAGAAGUCAGAUACUGACAACAGAGUCUUUUUAAAUGGAAAAAUAUUGGCACUUUAAAAGCAUCUGCUAAUAUUUCUUAAGGGUUAGGGACUAGCAGGAAUCUUGGGCUGAAGAGAGGGAACUGUGUAGCAGAACCCUCAUGAAACUGAUUUCAGUUUUAUGAGGAAUUUAGUUACAGUUUUUGACUCUGCACGAUUAAAACCAACGCUUCAGCCAAAAAUGUAUUUGGGAUUUAACCUUUUCUUUUGGAAAAACAUCUUAAAAGUGACGUACCCUCGUCACUUAAAAGCUGUGAAACUUUAUUUUAACAAUAUGAUGGGGCCCACUUUCAACCAAAGCAAAGUUAAUGGUAAUACGGUCUAAGAUCAAGACUAAUAACACAUGUGGUUUGGUAUCUGCUUAUAGACACUCUGGGAAUUGUGGGGUCUUUGUUGAUAGCCAUGGGGACUGAUUCUGGGUUGGUGAAAGUAAGCUAAUCGUCCACGGUCGAUGCCAGGAACAAGCUCACAUGCCCUAUUAUAGUUAGGCAGACAAUAUUCUAUGCUGUAACGUGGAAGUCUAGGUGUGGGGCCGAGCCGGAAAUUGCCCUGAACAAACACAAGCUUUCGUCACCACUUGGAGCAUGAGCUGGAUAUUAUAUUCUGGCUCCAAAGAAGAUGGCCGAGCUCAGUCCACCAGGCCAGUUCAAUGGUCCUUCUGGUCAUUCCCCAUCAGGCCAGGCCUGUCUGUGUCAAGACUCACGCCCAUGGGCCUUGCUCUUCUGUGGUAGGGCUUCCAGUCCAGCUGGAUGGGCAUGGGGCCAGUGAGCAGGCGCUCCCAGAGCCCAGCCAUUGGAAAGGGCGGGUGUGGAACGCGAGCGUGGGAGGCCUGUGGAGCUGGCCUUACACCUAGACUGGGAUUUUCACUGUUUGGGGGCGUUGGGAACAUCUGUGCAAAUCUGAAAGUACUUUGCUUCCAGAAAAAAAGGCAGGCACACCAGAUAUUUUCAUACUGAUUGGCUGGGGAUGGGCCAGUGUAAGGAGUCCCUGAAAACCACGUGGUGUUUAUUUCAGGUUAAGAACCAUUCCCAUGGGCAGAACAGAUAGUCCUCGAAAUGGUAUGGUUUUCUGGUGCUCGUGGAAACCCACACCUCUACAAAAAGCCCUUGUUCUUCGCAGCCUGGCCCAUGCUUGGAUUUGCCAUGAACAAUUUCUCCCUUGAAGUGGACUAACAGCCGCAGGAGGAGCCCAUUAAACCACAGGCAGCAGGGUGUGCGGUGGUUACGUUCCGAAUCCUGGUGCUCAGGACCUAGGGUGAGCGACUGGGAUAAAGAGCCUAUUACCACUCGCCAAGGCAAUCAAGAUCUCAGCCUCUGUCCCAGUUGCUGAUGUGAUAAUGGAAAGAAGUGCCAAAGACGUAAAAUAAUGAAUUGGCUUAAUGACCAACUGACGGUCACAUCCUCUCCUUUUAUUGCCAGUGCACUCAACUGAGAUGAAUAAAGCAACACAGCUCCUCCUGAAAAGCUCUUUAAAAUCACGUUGACUUUAUAUAUAACAGAAUGCAAGUGAAAUGAUCAUUUUCUAAGGAAUCUCCUCACAAAAUAGGGAUGUCAUCUAUAUCUCUUUAUUCUUCAGUGUACUCAUCUGCAAAAUGGGAAUAAUGAAAGUGCCUAUGCCAUUGGGGUGUUCUGACGAUGAAAUUAGAAAGUCCACACAGAAUGCUUUCAAUAUUAAUUCCAUAACUUUUUGUUGAAUAUUCACAAUGUGCAAAGCACGGUUCUAGGAGUUACUGCUAUUGUCGUGAUUGUUAGAAAUGGCCCUGGGCAGCACAAGUUGUGUUACUGUCAGCUGUUAAUCCCUUCCCACAUCUAGAAUUAUUUAUCAGGACUCUGAGGGAGUGCGCCACAAACCAUGGGUCUUUUUUAAAGAGGCUGCUUCAGGUGGCAAGGUCUAUGAGCACAGAGAGGGCAAUUCAGGGUGUGGGAAUGGCAUGCAGGGGUCCUGGAAGGCUGGAGGCAGGCACCGGGGCGGGGGUGGGGGGCGAUUUAACUAGAAGGAUGCAGCAGGAGGAUGCAGAAGAGAGACUCCCUUUGCUCACAGUGAGGAAGGUCCAUUCUGGCCAUGGUGAAGCACGAGUGAGAGAGGGACCUGGGUCUCUAGGUAUGGGAGGGAACGACCCCUGAAGAGGCUUCCAGACUGUGGUUCGUGCAUUUCCCAAUGUCCAGAGACCACGAGCAAUACUCUCCAUCAUUGCGGAUGGUCUUCAGGACGGACCUGAAGGCGGGGAAUGGGGCUCCCCAGGAAGAGGGAGACACCCUCCACAAGAGCAAGGAGCAUGGACUAGGGGCCCCGCUGCAGGAAUGUCCCAGCCCCAGGUCUUUCCUUGGCUCUGAACCUUGGGAUGCCAGAAAGAGUCAGCAGCCAAAUUAUGCAGGUUUAUGCUCCUAUCUCUGUGCCUUUCUCUCUGCUCUCCUGCAGGACCAGAUCUAGCUCACUGGGCUGGAGGUCCAAGGGGAAGCUUUCUUUGCCUGCUAUUGAACCAGGUGGGCACAACCCUUCCCAGAGCGGAGCACAGAGGCCUCAGUGCAAGGAGGAACUCAGCUACAGAGAUAAGUCUCACGACUAUCAAAUGGGUUAAUGUGUAUAAAGCGCUCACAUGCUGCCUGGCCCAUGCGUAGCAAGUGCGAAAUCGGUGUUUGUUAAACCAGUGACCCAGUUGCUUCUCCUCAUCAGGAAAUUUCCUUCCUGGGAAUGAUGGGCUCUACUUAUGUUUUACCAAAGUAGGUGACAUUUCUGUACAACUGUUCCCCACGAGGCUUUACGGGACCAUCAGAGACAGGAUCCCAGAGCAAGAGGAAUGUUGGGCAUAAUUCAUUCAUUGGGUCAAAGAACAUCUCUACUACAGCAUGUUAGUGAGACGGCUGAAAAACGUAUUCAGGUCACGGAAAAAGAAU
RNAcentral lists this long non-coding RNA (6513 nucleotides) under Sus scrofa (pig). Its description in RNAcentral is "lncRNA (ENSSSCG00040048138.1)". The record is from RNAcentral. Lineage: Eukaryota; Metazoa; Chordata; Mammalia; Artiodactyla; Suidae.